RNAcentral lists this ribosomal RNA (466 nucleotides) under uncultured bacterium. RNAcentral describes it as "partial 16S ribosomal RNA". It matches the Rfam family "Bacterial small subunit ribosomal RNA", at positions 28 to 507 of the family's 1533-position model. The record is from RNAcentral.
GACGAACGCUGGCGGCGCGCCUAACACAUGCAAGUCGAACGAGCGAGCGAGAGCUUGCUUUCUCGAGCGAGUGGCGAACGGGUGAGUAACGCGUGAGGAACCUGCCUCAAAGAGGGGGACAACAGCUGGAAACGACUGCUAAUACCGCAUAAGACCACGACCCGGCAUCGGGUAGUGGGAAAAGGAGCAAUCCGCUUUGAGAUGGCCUCGCGUCCGAUUAGCUAGUUGGUGAGGUAACGGCCCACCAAGGCGACGAUCGGUAGCCGGACUGAGAUGCUGAAAGGCCGCGAUGGGACUGAGGCACGGACCAGACUCCUACGCGGGGGAGGAGUGGGGAAUAUUGCAGACGGAAGGAAACCCCGAUGCAGCGACGUCGCGGAUAAGAAGAAGGGGGUUGGAUAGUAAUCUCCUGUUGAGCGGGGAGAUAAUGACGGUACUCAGCAAAGAAGUGACGGCUAACUACGUG